This 460-nucleotide ribosomal RNA is filed under the name uncultured bacterium. Its description in RNAcentral is "partial 16S ribosomal RNA". It matches the Rfam family "Bacterial small subunit ribosomal RNA", at positions 338 to 795 of the family's 1533-position model. The record is from RNAcentral.
CCUACGUGUGGCAGCAGUGAGGAAUAUUGGUCAAUGGGCGCGAGCCUGAACCAGCCAAGUAGCGUGAAGGAUGACUGCCCUACGGGUUGUAAACUUCUUUUAUCAAGUAAUCCAGUCAUGCACUUGUGCCUUUUUGUAUGUACUUUAUGCAUCAGGAUCGUCUAACUCCGUGCCAGCAGCCGCGGUAAUACGGAGGAUCCGAGCGUUAUCCGGAUUUAUUGGGUUUAAAGGGAUCGUAGAUGGGUUGUUAAGUCAGUUGGGAAAGUGUGCGGCUCAACCGUAACAGUGCAAGUGAGACUGGCAGUCUUGAGUGCAGGUGAGGUAGGAGGAAUUCGUGGUGGAGCGGUGAAAUGCUUAGAUAUCACGAAGAACGCCGAUUGCGAAGGCAGCUUACUAAACUGACACUGACACUGAUGCUCGAAAGUGUGGGGAUCAAACAGGAUUAGAGACCCCAGUAGUC